CCCCCAGAAACGGGGCAAGCCUUUAGAGGGUGGUACACAGCUGUUGCAUGGCUGUCGUCAGCUCGUGACGUGAGUUGUUCUCUUAAGUGAGGUAACGAGCGCAACCCCCAUUCUGUGUUACUAUGUCACAGAAGACUGCCCAGCAUUAUUUGUUGGGAGGAAGAGGGGACGACGUCAAGUCAUCAUGAUGCUUAUAUCCGGGGCUACACACAUCCUACAAUGGGUGGUACAGAGGGUCGCAAUACCGCGAGGUGGAGCUAAUCCUUAAAACCUCCCUCAGUUGGGAUUGCAGGCUGAAACUCGCCUGCAUGAACUUGGAAUUGGUAGUAAUCGCAAAUCAGCAGAUUGCGGUGAAUACGUUCUCGCCUCUU
RNAcentral lists this ribosomal RNA (371 nucleotides) under uncultured Microgenomates group bacterium. RNAcentral's name for it is "bacterial SSU rRNA". It matches the Rfam family "Bacterial small subunit ribosomal RNA", at positions 997 to 1382 of the family's 1533-position model. The record is from RNAcentral.